UUUUUAAUCCAUAUCCACCUUGUGUGCAAUGUCGGCCGAUCUUUCUUUUUUGGAAGAUCAGCCAAACAUCAACUUAUUUUUUUAACUCUUUGUCUGAAAAAUAUUAUGAAUAAACAAUUCAAAAUACAACUUUCAACAACGGAUCUCUUGGCUCUCGCAUCGAUGAAGAACGCAGCGAAAUGCGAUACGUAAUGUGAAUUGCAGAAUUCAGUGAAUCAUCGAAUCUUUGAACGCAUAUUGCGCUCUUUGGUAUUCCGAAGAGCAUGCUUGUUUGAGUGUCAUUAAAUUAUCAACUCUGUUCUUUUCAGAGCUUGGACUUGGAGUGUGCCGGUCCCCUAACAGGGCUCAGCUCCUCUUGAAAUGCAUAUGCGGAACCUUUGAUUGCGGACCAGCUCCAGCGUGAUAAUUAUCUACGUUGCCGCCGCGAAGCAGUUGGAUCUGCCUAUAAUCGUUGCCUUGCGCAACAGGGACUUAACAGCCCCUAUCUUUGACAAUUUGACCUCAAAUCAGGUAGGAUUACCCGCUGAACUUAAGCAUAUCAAUAA
This 545-nucleotide ribosomal RNA is filed under the name uncultured fungus. RNAcentral's name for it is "eukaryotic LSU rRNA". The stretch from base 128 to 281 matches the Rfam family "5.8S ribosomal RNA". The record is from RNAcentral. Lineage: Eukaryota; Fungi.